ACUCCUACGGGAGGCAGCAGUCGAGAAUCUUCCACAAUGGGCGAAAGCCUGAUGGAGCGACGCUGCGUGUAGGAUGAAGGCCUUAGGGUUGUAAACUACUGUCACGCUAUAGGAACCCGCGUUGGUUAAUAGCCAGCGCGCUGACCAAAGCGAAAGGAAGUGCCGGCUAACUCCGUGCCAGCAGCCGCGGUAAUACGGAGGGCGCAAGCGUUGUUCGGAAUCACUGGGCAUAAAGAGCAUGUAGGCGGCUUCUUAAGUCGGAUGUGAAAGCCCUCGGCCCAACCGGGGAACUGCAUUCGAUACUGAUUAGCUCGAGGACAGGAGGGGUGAGUGGAACUUCAGGUGGAACGGUGAAAUGUGUAGAUAUCUGAAGGAACACCGGUGGCGAAAGCGGCUCACUGGCCUGUCUCUGACGCUGAGAUGCGAAAGCUAGGGUAGCAAAC
RNAcentral lists this ribosomal RNA (443 nucleotides) under uncultured bacterium. RNAcentral describes it as "bacterial SSU rRNA". It matches the Rfam family "Bacterial small subunit ribosomal RNA", at positions 335 to 773 of the family's 1533-position model. The record is from RNAcentral.